This 1258-nucleotide ribosomal RNA is filed under the name Escherichia coli. Its description in RNAcentral is "partial 23S ribosomal RNA". It matches the Rfam family "Bacterial large subunit ribosomal RNA", at positions 626 to 1869 of the family's 2925-position model. The record is from RNAcentral. Lineage: Bacteria; Pseudomonadati; Pseudomonadota; Gammaproteobacteria; Enterobacterales; Enterobacteriaceae.
ACUUAUAUUCUGUAGCAAGGUUAACCGAAUAGGGGAGCCGAAGGGAAACCGAGUCUUAACUGGGCGUUAAGUUGCAGGGUAUAGACCCGAAACCCGGUGAUCUAGCCAUGGGCAGGUUGAAGGUUGGGUAACACUAACUGGAGGACCGAACCGACUAAUGUUGAAAAAUUAGCGGAUGACUUGUGGCUGGGGGUGAAAGGCCAAUCAAACCGGGAGAUAGCUGGUUCUCCCCGAAAGCUAUUUAGGUAGCGCCUCGUGAAUUCAUCUCCGGGGGUAGAGCACUGUUUCGGCAAGGGGGUCAUCCCGACUUACCAACCCGAUGCAAACUGCGAAUACCGGAGAAUGUUAUCACGGGAGACACACGGCGGGUGCUAACGUCCGUCGUGAAGAGGGAAACAACCCAGACCGCCAGCUAAGGUCCCAAAGUCAUGGUUAAGUGGGAAACGAUGUGGGAAGGCCCAGACAGCCAGGAUGUUGGCUUAGAAGCAGCCAUCAUUUAAAGAAAGCGUAAUAGCUCACUGGUCGAGUCGGCCUGCGCGGAAGAUGUAACGGGGCUAAACCAUGCACCGAAGCUGCGGCAGCGACGCUUAUGCGUUGUUGGGUAGGGGAGCGUUCUGUAAGCCUGUGAAGGUGUGCUGUGAGGCAUGCUGGAGGUAUCAGAAGUGCGAAUGCUGACAUAAGUAACGAUAAAGCGGGUGAAAAGCCCGCUCGCCGGAAGACCAAGGGUUCCUGUCCAACGUUAAUCGGGGCAGGGUGAGUCGACCCCUAAGGCGAGGCCGAAAGGCGUAGUCGAUGGGAAACAGGUUAAUAUUCCUGUACUUGGUGUUACUGCGAAGGGGGGACGGAGAAGGCUAUGUUGGCCGGGCGACGGUUGUCCCGGUUUAAGCGUGUAGGCUGGUUUUCCAGGCAAAUCCGGAAAAUCAAGGCUGAGGCGUGAUGACGAGGCACUACGGUGCUGAAGCAACAAAUGCCCUGCUUCCAGGAAAAGCCUCUAAGCAUCAGGUAACAUCAAAUCGUACCCCAAACCGACACAGGUGGUCAGGUAGAGAAUACCAAGGCGCUUGAGAGAACUCGGGUGAAGGAACUAGGCAAAAUGGUGCCGUAACUUCGGGAGAAGGCACGCUGAUAUGUAGGUGAAGCGACUUGCUCGUGGAGCUGAAAUCAGUCGAAGAUACCAGCUGGCUGCAACUGUUUAUUAAAAACACAGCACUGUGCAAACACGAAAGUGGACGUAUACGGUGUGACGCCUGCCCGGUGC